CUCUCCUCUAUUAGUGCUUUAUAUUACCUCUAUUGUAUAGCUUGCAUUCUCAUACUUAAAAUCAUAUAUUCACUCAGACACACACACACUUCUUUAUCCUAUAAUUGGAGCUAAAGUAAUCUAAUUAUACUAUCAGACUUAAGUAGAUGUAUUUUCUAGCAAUUAUACUUUGAAAGUUCAAUUAUAAUUGUAUGAAAUAUUCAUUCCAAUUUUCAUCAAAUAUUGGCAAAGUCCUCUCAUCUGAAUGAUGCUCUUAUUCUAAAGAGGAAAGGCAGCCAGGGAACUGCCCUGUAAGAGGGUAGGUGCUCUGUCUCUGAACAUCUCUGUGGCUUGUGGAGUUGGGCUAGAUGAGCACUGGAAUUAAAUCAACAGAAAUGGUCAUGUAGAUUCUCCUUAACUUAGCCUUUGGACAUGUAUUAACCCCUUUUACAACCGAUAAAACAAAAAAAAGAGUUUUUUUUUUUUAAUUUUUAAAAUUAUAUGAAGUUUGCUUUCAGUUUCUUUUUAUUUGUAUUAAAGAUUUUUUAUUUUUUUCCAUUUUCUCCCCAAAGACCCCCAGUACAUAGUUGUAUAUUCUUCGUUGUGGGUUUUUCUAGUUGUGGCAUGUGGGACGCCGCCUCAGCGUGGGUUGAUAAGCAGUACCAUGUCCGCGCCCAGGAUUCGAACCAACGAAACACUGGGCCGCCUGCAGUGGAGCGCGCAAACUUAACCACUUGGCCACGGGGCCAACCCCUUCAGUUUCUUUUUUAUACAAAAAAAAGAAUUUUUAAGUAGGUUAGUCCGGAUUUCUACAUGCGAAUAUUUUAUAAUGUUUACAAACUUCAUAAAAUACUACAUAUAUGUCCUUUUCCUGUGUUAUUUCUUCUCCUUCUUCAUUUAUAAAAAGUAAAAACGAUUCUUAGUGCCUUGAAUGAAGUGAAGCAGCACUGAAUAUUUGCCACUAUGGCCCGUCCUUUCUCCCUCAGUGGAGGUAAUAAAAGAAGUCAGAUCACGUUCCAGAUUUUAAGGAUUCUCCAGUAGCUGUCACAGAGUUUGGCUGUGAAAAGCACUCACGGGUCUUGAAUAGUUAGACAUUUGGGACAAUAAAGAGAAACAUCUUAAGCAGAAGGCUGUAGGUAAUAUUUGAAUAUUGUUUAACAUUGUCUCAGGUAGAAAAUAAAAGGGAUAGCAAAAUAACGACUUUAAAGGUCUCUUCAUGACAAGAAGCUUUUAUCUCAUUUCUAAAAAAAUAAUCCAUUUAGACUUAACUCCAGAAAGACACUUUUUAUUAUGUUUCCCAAGGUUUUAAAACACUAUCUCCGGGGGUUCUUAUGAAUAUGUCAUGAGAUAAUAUAAGAGAAAACAUCUAACUUAUGCUUGACCCAUGGAAGGCACUCCAAUAUUAGUUUUUGUCUGUCAAGAUAACUACUAAGUACAUUUCUUUUUGUACAUUCAGAGAAUAUUUUUUAUGGUUUAUUUACUUUAAAAUAUAUGUCAUCGUUUUAUUCCAUAGUCAGAAAGCACCUUAAAACUAUGGUUUGAGCCAAUCAUUUUAUUAAAAAAAAACGUAAAGUUGUAAAGCCAUGAAAUCUAAGUAAAUAAUUAGAGGAACUAUGACUUAGCACAGUCCAGUUUUCUCUAAUUUUCAGCCUGUGUUCUUUCAAUCAGUUCCUAGCCUAGUCUCUUUACCUUGAUUUAUCAACUCCAUGACAGCAGGCACUCUGUCUGUGUCUGGACCUUCCAAAGGACAUCCCAGGGUGGAAAUUGGGGCAUCAUGCCAGUUUGUAAAGAAAAGAGAAUUUCUGUCCUAACAUUGUGAAAUUACAUUAUUAUUGGGAAAUCUGGGUAUUCCUCCUUAUGUUUCUUUAGUAAAUAUAAGUGUCUCUGUAAUGAAUACAACCAGAAUUAUUCUUAUAAUACUCUUUUAUAAACCAUAAACAAAUGUACUAAGGCAAAUAGAUUAAAGUUUUUAUUAGCCCCUGCUUGAUCCUCAUAUAUAAUCUGCCUUUGUUUCUUUUAAGCCCUCAGCAUGUGGGCUGCCCUGUUAGUUUCCUUGUAAUAGAAAAUAUUUCAUUAAAAUCAUCAUAAUCAAGAAAAAAGGAAUUCAACCUACUCACCUAUAUUAACACCUGUAUAACCAUCAUUUUAUACCCAUUGAACAUUAAAAAUUUUGACUUAAACCACUUUACAUUUUUUCUAGUAAACAGCAAUACUCACCUUGCUUUAAAUAUUUAAAACAAGUCCAAAUUAUUUAGUGAGUUUGCAAGUUCUUUGAGGUUCAAGGGUUUCAUAAAAUUCUUCUGACGGCUCCACUGGUUGAAAUAAAGUUAUUUUCUAAAUAUUCAGCUAUUAGAAAAUGAUGGGGAUUUCCAAAGAAAUAGGUGCCAAUAUUCUGAUUCAAACUGGUGGGUAAAAUAGCUUCUGCUUUGAAAACCAUGCCUAAGUGAUUAGGGGAAAAAAUGGUAUUUUGUAUUCUUGGCUCUCUGUGAUCCUCUUGAGUGAACAUAUGGAACUGAAUAUGGGAUUAAAUCAAAUACUGAAUGCACUAACUCGCCUCUACCUCAGUUUUUCUCUUUAAAUUUAUUUUGUUUUCUUCUAACUCAUAUCGAAUCUCUCCAUAUGUUGGUUCCCAUUUAGAAUUGCAACAAUUUUCCCUAGAUUGCUUUUAUGUUACAUUAAAAACCCUGGGGUAAAUGUCAUUAACUGUAGUUUCAGCCAUUACUCUUGGCCCAUCAUUAUGCAACUGACAUUCCAUAGAAUUUUCUCUGUAUGUGUAAUUCUAAGCAAUUUGAUUCUCAACUUGGAAAACUUUUCAGAAUCCUUUAAGUGUAAUGAUUUAUCUUAAGCAAUAUCACCAAGAAGGGAAAAUUUGAAGUAGUAAUAGUUGAAGAUCAAGCCUAAAAUUAAUUUUCCUACUUUUGUCUUUAAAAA
This 2910-nucleotide long non-coding RNA is filed under the name Equus caballus (horse). RNAcentral describes it as "lncRNA (ENSECAG00000051173.1)". Lineage: Eukaryota; Metazoa; Chordata; Mammalia; Perissodactyla; Equidae. The record is from RNAcentral.